This 253-nucleotide ribosomal RNA is filed under the name uncultured bacterium. Its description in RNAcentral is "partial 16S ribosomal RNA". It matches the Rfam family "Bacterial small subunit ribosomal RNA", at positions 524 to 776 of the family's 1533-position model. The record is from RNAcentral.
UACGGAGGGGGCUAGCGUUGUUCGGAAUUACUGGGCGUAAAGCGCACAUAGGCGGCUUUGUAAGUUAGAGGUGAAAGCCCAGGGCUCAACCCUGGAACUGCCUUUAAGACUGCAUCGCUUGAACAUCGGAGAGGUAAGUGGAAUUCCGAGUGUAGAGGUGAAAUUCGUAGAUAUUCGGAAGAACACCAGUGGCGAAGGCGACUUACUGGACGAUUGUUGACGCUGAGGUGCGAAAGCGUGGGGAGCAAACAGG